AUGCAUGAAAGUCGUUGGUAUUCAUGACUUUAUGAAGAACUGAUUGAUAUCGUGAUGCAUGGAACGGAUUUGAUUACAUUUUUGUAGGAGUUCAGACUUACGGAGAAAAUCGACUUUCAUCAAUCUGUAGGAACAGAACUCUGACGCAAAACGAGGACCUCCUAUAUUUGUUUUCCAGUGUUGGUAGCACCUGUUGAUUCCUAUUUUUGAAGUUUUGUUGUGUUGAUGUUGUUCUUCUGAUGUGUGCCGUUCUGUUUUGCUCAUUGUGUCUGCAGGUGUAGGAACCAGGAACUACUACAGGAAGAUGGGCUAUGAGCUGGAGGGACCCUACAUGGUGAAGGACCUGUACGCUCCAGCAACAGACUGAACCUGAACAUGGUUUUAGCAGCAGCUUCUUCUGUUUAUCAGAACAGUGUUCCAGCUGUGUUGGUAGUGUAGCUGGAGGUGAUGGUUUCUGGGUUCUUCUAAUGCAGCUCCUUUUAUCUAGAACUCACUGGGCUGCUGCCUUCCUCCGAUGAGGAGACAUCCAGAGGACAUCCAGAACAACAUAGAGAUCAAUUCAAAAUGCAAACGUUCUUUACAGUCCUUGCAAAGACAUUUAAAGUUCUAAAUAAUUGAUAUAAAAAGUGCAGUAACAGUAACAGUUUUCCUGCCCGUUGGCUUGUUUUAACCAGUUUUCUACCUUCGGCUGAUUCUACCAGCAGACACUGAAAGGACUCCGAUAGUUCGAGUGAAAGUAGCAGUUCCUCCUGAAGGUCAGAGAUUGCAGCAUCUGAGGACCUCUUCAAAAGAAGACGUAGUUGAUGAAGGCGUUCUGGAGCAGGACCAGAAAGACCACGACCAAGCAGCCUUGAGAUCUUAGACAGCGUCUCCCUCAGCUCUCGUAGGAGGCGGUCGCACUUUUCCUUGCUCCGCUAUCUCUGUUCCUCCCUCCCUACCCUCAUGUCUCCCUGCUUGCUGCAUUUCUUCGUCUUCGUCUCGUCUGUCUGACUUGGAGCGAUCGCUUGGCACUGGACCUUCGAAACACCGAUCAUGGAAUUGAUUAACUGGUCUCUCAACGCAAUUGACAAGAUUGUCGCCACAAAGAGCACAGGCCUAGGGGAGCCUACCUGCCCGGAUGGGCGUUUUGCCUCUGGUUACGUGAUCGACGCCUGGGGGAAGUGGAAGGGGAUCAUGUGCCUGGCACCCCUAUCCGUGGAGGAUGUGGAAGAUGUUAUAUUCGGAUUUAUGAUGACAGGCCUGCUGAUAAUUGGCUUGUUCACUGGCCUGAGCUUCUGGAAAAUCAGGAAGACCGCAGACAGAAACGACGUCCAAACUCUGCUGGUCUAUGCAAACGAACGGAUCACGGCUGCCGAUUCUCGGUAUGACGAACUCAAUCGUAAGAUGAACAAUUUGCUUGGUGUGACUGUUGAUUUGAGUCGCAGAUUGGAAGCCAUCCGGGUGAGAAUCGCUACAGCUGAAGUCUAAAAUUAUUGAGAGCAGUAGGGGGAAGGUGAAAUUACUUCUCUCCCGCCCAAACAUGAGAAUAACUGAUUACAUUCUGGCGCCCCUGGAACAAUAACAAACUCCUCUGGAAGUUUCAUGGCCAAGAGAUAGCUCUCCUAAACCCCCCCCACCUUCCCAAGGAAUCCUGUUGACUUUUGGACCGGGCCAACCGAGGACGUCUCCAUAGCAACCUUGCUGUGUUAUCGCGCUCCCACCCUCGCGAACUGAGACACCGGAGGUCUGAGACGGAAGAAGAUGGGCUACACUCAUACACAAACAUUCGGACUCAUGAACUGAGGACUGAGCUAAACAUUUGCACACACAUUCCCAUAUCCCCCCUCCCCCCCGCCUCCACAAGCUUUCCUCGCCAUACACAGGAGCCAGGAAUCCGUGCGCAGAAAUUUUUGCUGCACAGGAACCGGCUAACUGUGCGGUGCUCCCCCCUCCACCUCCCCACAUCCUUAUCCCAACUAUCCUUGUCUGACAUCAUGCUCUGCCUGUUUGCGGGUUUGUUUUUUUUUAGGUUUCCUUCUCAAAUCGAAUUUCCCAAUAAUUGGAGGUUUAAUUUGAUACAAUGAGCCUUUUUUUUCUUUUACCCUCUGCUAUCCCUACUCAGAUCCCUACAUGUUUUUUUUCUUUUUUUUUCCUGAAGAAAGGUGCCGCGCAGCAGCUGGAGCUGUCAUUGGCAGGGCAGCUCAAUGUAAUUUCAUUGUAUAUGAAAAUGUGCAAUGACAAAUAAAGCUAUCUAUCUAUCUAACCAAAGCACUCUGUGUGUAACGCCAUAGUAUAGGAUGUAGUUCAGAAAAUGUCAAAGUAUAGUAUACGUUUCAAGAAUAACAUAGUAUGGCCUGUAGUUCAUAGUACAGCAUGUUGGCAAAAAAACCCCCAUAGAUUAUUAUGUGGUUCAAAAAGCGCAAAAUGAUAGGAUGUUGCCUAAAAUUGUCAUGUAUGAUAUGUGGUUCAAAAAAUGUCAUAGUGCAGUAUAUUGUCAAAAUAGUAUGUUAUUCAAGAAAACAUCAGAGUAUAAUAUGUCGUCUAAAAAAUCCCAUAGAAUAAUAUUUCAUUGCACAAGUAAAAGUAUAGUAACUUUUAAAACUGUUGACAUUCUUAUGUUGCUAAAAAACAAGAAAAAACUAAAACAAAAAAAAUCAUAGUAAUAUGUCAAUUAAAGAAGCCUAUAGUAUAGAAUGUCGUCCAACAAACAUCAUAGCAUGGCAUGUCGCUCUAAAAACGUCAUAGUUUAGACUUAAGUCCACAAAAUGUUGUUGUGUCCCGGCUGUCUGAAGUAGGUAAGGAGCAACACAAAAACAGUCCAAACCCUGGUUUACAGAGGGUUAGACGAGUAUUUAUUUGAAAGAGUAAGUUUACAACAACACAACAUGUGAGGGGGUUAAAAGCAAAUGGGUGUUAGUAAAAUAAAAAUAAAUAAACAGAACUAAAAGUGAACUUCAUGUUGACAUUGAUGGGCAUUCCAACCAGGAACAAAGUAAAAAAUAAUCAAUACGAAAAAAAACUCUUCCUGUUCACCUCUUAAAACCCAAAAACACAGCGCAGUAGCACCCUAAACUAAAACUACCAAUGGGUUCCCUGUUUUCCUUUGUGAACAAUUCAAAGGUCCCUCUCUAUCUCCCCACACAUCCACCAACCACUGGAACACAUCUCCAAAGUUCUGCUGGACCAGCUCAGCUUCCCCUCAGAAGUGCUGCCACCUGCCAGAUGAAGGAGCCUUUUGAGAGGCAGCUGGCAUCGUGAUUGGACUGUACUUUGGUCUGUUCCAAUCCAGCUUCAGCUCCAGAGACGGCAGGCGGGACGAGUCAACGGAGGCCGGGUGGAUGAAGGCAUGAAGCUGAGUACAAUCCAGAAAACAACAGAGGAGGAGUGCAGCAGCCCAGAGCCAGAACAACCAGAGUAGCAUGGUAUGUCUCUUAGAAAACAUCAUAGUAGAGCCUUUGGUAUGAAAAAACGCCAUCAUAUACAUCGUAUAUUGUACAAAUAACAAGUCUAAGGAAAGAGACAUACAUUGUAGAAUUGUAGUAAUUGUGGGCUGACUGAUUUACUGAUUAUCAGUAUUUUAUUUUUGACUGAUUUACGGUAAUAAAUACAUUUAAAAAUGG
Molecule: long non-coding RNA, 3599 nt
Organism: Amphiprion ocellaris (clown anemonefish)
Lineage: Eukaryota; Metazoa; Chordata; Actinopteri; Pomacentridae
Exons: 3
Source: RefSeq, a predicted model, not a curated record